AGAGUUUGAUCCUGGCUCAGGACGAACGCUGGCGGCGCGCCUAACACAUGCAAGUCGAACGGAGCUUAGAGAGCUUGCUUUUUAAGCUUAGUGGCGAACGGGUGAGUAACGCGUGAGUAACCUGCCCUAGAGUGGGGGACAACAGUUGGAAACGACUGCUAAUACCGCAUAAGCCCACGGUACCGCAUGGCACUGAGGGAAAAGGAUUUAUUCGCUUUAGGAUGGACUCGCGUCCAAUUAGCUAGUUGGUGAGGUAACGGCCCACCAAGGCGACGAUUGGUAGCCGGACUGAGAGGUUGAACGGCCACAUUGGGACUGAGACACGGCCCAGACUCCUACGGGAGGCAGCAGUGGGGGAUAUUGCACAAUGGGGGAAACCCUGAUGCAGCGACGCCGCGUGAGGGAAGAAGGUUUUCGGAUUGUAAACCUCUGUCCUUGGUGACGAUAAUGACGGUAGCCAAGGAGGAAGCCACGGCUAACUACGUGCCAGCAGCCGCGGUAAAACGUAGGUCACAAGCGUUGUCCGGAAUUACUGGGUGUAAAGGGAGCGCAGGCGGGAAGACAAGUUGGAAGUGAAAUCUAUGGGCUCAACCCAUAAACUGCUUUCAAAACUGUUUUUCUUGAGUAGUGCAGAGGUAGGCGGAAUUCCCGGUGUAGCGGUGGAAUGCGUAGAUAUCGGGAGGAACACCAGUGGCGAAGGCGGCCUACUGGGCACCAACUGACGCUGAGGCUCGAAAGUGUGGGUAGCAAACAGGAUUAGAUACCCUGGUAGUCCACACCGUAAACGAUGAUUACUAGGUGUUGGGAGGAUUGACCCCUUUCAGUGCCGCAG
This 832-nucleotide ribosomal RNA is filed under the name uncultured bacterium. Its description in RNAcentral is "bacterial SSU rRNA". It matches the Rfam family "Bacterial small subunit ribosomal RNA", at positions 8 to 851 of the family's 1533-position model. The record is from RNAcentral.